Molecule: long non-coding RNA, 1010 nt
Filed under: Homo sapiens (human)
Lineage: Eukaryota; Metazoa; Chordata; Mammalia; Primates; Hominidae
Description: HSALNT0206629
Source: RNAcentral
GUUUAUCAAUUUUAUUUAUCUUUUCAAAUAGCCAACUUUUUUUUUUUAGCCAGGCAUGGUGGUGGGUGCCUAUAAUCCCAGCUACUCAGGAGACUGAGGCAGGAGAAUUGCUAAAGCCCAGGAGGCAGAGGUUGCAGUGAGCAGAGAUCAUGCCGUUGCACUCCAGCCUGGGUAAUAGAGUGAGACUGUGUAAGAAAGAAAGAAAAGAAAAGAAAAGAAAGAAGGAAAGAAGGAAGGAAGGAAGGAAGGGAAAGAGAGAGAGAGAGAGAAAGGAAAGGAGGAAGGAAGGAAGGAAGGGAGGAAGGAAGGAAGGAAGGAAGGAAGGAAGGAAGGAAGGAAGGAAGGAAGGAAAGAGGUACUUAAUUGAGUGGGUGUUUAACUUUUGAUAAGUAAGUAGGUGAUAACAAGGAAAAAUAAACUUCCAAGUGGAAGCAAAAUGUUUUCUACAGGCUAUCGGCUGUGUUUUGGGUUGACAAUUAGAACAAUUUGACUAGGAUAGAAGCAUAAUGAAUGUGGAGUACUUGAAAGUAACAUGGACAAAUGUGGGAAUGUGGCCAGUAGAUGGAGAUUUUUAAAUGUCAAAAGAUUGAAUAUAAUCUUGUAGGAGGUGAAGAUGUAUUGAAUAUCUUUGAGCUGAAACAUUCCACAGAAAACAACAAACUGUAGGAAUUUGUUUGCCAUAUAAGUUGGAGAGAGGAAGAACUGUAGGCAGGAUAAAAGGUUUGGAGGAUAUUGAAGUAGUUUAGCCUCGGAGAUAACGAAGUAAAUAAUCAGGAUGAUGGAAGUAGAAAUAGGAAGGGAAGAGCAGUUAAGGGAAGUGUCAAAAGAAUGAACAAAACUUGAUGACUGGUUAUGAAGGGAGAGAGAAAUAUAGAUACUAACUUUAGAGCUUGGAGCACAGACCCUUGGAGAAAAGAGGAUUUCUUGACUGAUAAUCGAAGUUGAUAAGGGAGAAUGACUUUGUUAGCCCGGGUGAUAAGAUUUAAUUAUACCCGAAUUGAGAUACAGCA